GGUAACGGCCCACCAAGCCUUCGAUGGAUAGGGGUUCUGAGAGGAAGGUCCCCCACAUUGGAACUGAGACACGGUCCAAACUCCUACGGGAGGCAGCAUG
Molecule: ribosomal RNA, 100 nt
Filed under: uncultured bacterium
Lineage: Bacteria
Description: partial 16S ribosomal RNA
Rfam family: Bacterial small subunit ribosomal RNA
Source: RNAcentral